RNAcentral lists this ribosomal RNA (492 nucleotides) under uncultured bacterium. Its description in RNAcentral is "partial 16S ribosomal RNA". It matches the Rfam family "Bacterial small subunit ribosomal RNA", at positions 29 to 507 of the family's 1533-position model. The record is from RNAcentral.
AGUGAACGCUGGCGGUAGGCCUAACACAUGCAAGUCGAACGGCAGCUCAGUAAGAGCUUGCUCUUACGGGUGGCGAGUGGCGGACGGGUGAGGAAUACAUCGGAAUCUACUUUUUCGUGGGGGAUAACGUAGGGAAACUUACGCUAAUACCGCAUACGACCUACGGGUGAAAGCAGCGGAUCUUCGGACCUUGCGCGAUUGAAUGAGCCGAGGUCGGAUUAGCUAGUUGGCGGGGUACAGGCCCACCAAGGCGACGAUCCGUAGCUGGGCUGAGAGGAUGAUUCGCUAGACGGGAUGUGAGAAAGGGUAGCGACUCCUGCGCGAAGCCGCAGUGGAGAAUACUAGACAAGGGGCGAAAGCGGGAUACAGCCCUACGGCGUGAGUGAAGAAGGCGUUCGGGUUGGAAAGUCAUUAUGUUGGGAGAGAAAAGCAGCAGUUUUAUACCCCGCGGUACUGACGGUACCGGAAGAAUAAGCACCGGCUAACUUCGUG